CAGGAUGUUGGCUUAGAAGCAGCCAUCAUUUAAAGAAAGCGUAAUAGCUCACUGAUCGAGUCGUCCUGCGCGGAAGAUGUAACGGGGCUAAGCCAGUUACCGAAGCUGCGGAUUUGCACGCAAGUGCAAGUGGUAGGAGAGCGUUCUGUACGCCUGUGAAGGUGGAUCGUGAGGUCUGCUGGAGGUAUCAGAAGUGCGAAUGCUGACAUGAGUAGCGUUAAAGGGGGUGAAAAGCCCCCUCGCCGAAAGCGCAAGGUUUCCUACGCAACGUUCAUCGGCGUAGGGUGAGUCGGCCCCUAAGGCGAGGCAGAGAUGCGUAGCUGAUGGGAAACAGGUCAAUAUUCCUGUACCGAUGUGUAGUGCGAUGUGGGGACGGAGAAGGUUAACUCGGCCGGGUGUUGGAUGUCCCGGUUCAAGCAUGUAGGCGUGCCCUCUAGGCAAAUCCGGAGGGCUUAGCUGAGGUGUGAUAACGAGGCGGCUUGCCGCUGAAGUGAGUGAUACCCUGCUUCCAGGAAAAGCCACUAAGCUCCAGCUACACACGACCGUACCGCAAACCGACACUGGUGCGCGAGAUGAGUAUUCUAAGGCGCUUGAGAGAACUCUGGAGAAGGAACUCGGCAAAUUGACACCGUAACUUCGGAAGAAGGUGUGCCUUUAGUAGGUGAAGUCGUACAGAUGGAGCCCAAUGAGGCCGCAGAGAAUCGGUGGCUGCGACUGUUUAUUAAAAACACAGCACUCUGCAAAGACGAAAGUCGACGUAUAGGGUGUGACGCCUGCCCGGUGCUGGAAGAUUAAAUGAUGGGGUGCAAGCUCUUGACUGAAGUCCCAGUAAACGGCGGCCGUAACAAUAACGGUCCUAAGGUAGCGAAAUUCCUUGUCGGGUAAGUUCCGACCCGCACGAAUGGCGUAACGAUGGCCACACUGUCUCCUCUCGGGACUCAGCGAAGUUGAAAUGUUUGUGAUGAUGCAAUCUCCCCGCGGAAAGACGGAAAGACCCCAUGAACCUUUACUGCAGCUUUACAUUGGACUUUGACAAGAUUUGUGUAGGAUAGGUGGGAGACUAUGAAGCGGUGUCGCUAGAUAUCGUGGAGUCAUCCUUGAAAUACCACCCUGAUGUUGUUGAGGUUCUAACCUAGGUCCGUAAUCCGGACUGGGGACCGUGUAUGGUA
This 1169-nucleotide ribosomal RNA is filed under the name Coleochaete orbicularis. Its description in RNAcentral is "bacterial LSU rRNA". It matches the Rfam family "Bacterial large subunit ribosomal RNA", at positions 1094 to 2263 of the family's 2925-position model. The record is from RNAcentral. Lineage: Eukaryota; Viridiplantae; Streptophyta; Coleochaetophyceae; Coleochaetales; Coleochaetaceae.